This 403-nucleotide ribosomal RNA is filed under the name uncultured bacterium. RNAcentral's name for it is "bacterial SSU rRNA". It matches the Rfam family "Bacterial small subunit ribosomal RNA", at positions 356 to 773 of the family's 1533-position model. The record is from RNAcentral.
GGGGAAUAUUGGGCAAUGGGCGCAAGCCUGACCCAGCAACGCCGCGUGAGGGAAGAAGGUUUUCGGAUUGUAAACCUCUGUCCUUAGGGACGAAAAAAAUGACGGUACCUAAGGAGGAAGCUCCGGCUAACUACGUGCCAGCAGCCGCGGUAAUACGUAGGGAGCAAGCGUUGUCCGGAAUUACUGGGCGUAAAGGGUGCGUAGGUGGCCAUGCAAGUCAGAUGUGAAAUCCCCGGGCUUAACUCGGGUGCUGCAUUUGAAACUGCGUGGCUUGAGUGCAGGAGAGGAAAGCGGAAUUCCUAGUGUAGCGGUGAGAUGCGUAGAUAUUAGGAGGAACACCAGUGGCGAAGGCGGCUUUCUGGACUGUAACUGACACUGAGGCACGAAAGCGUGGGGAGCAAAC